RNAcentral lists this transfer RNA (75 nucleotides) under Adhaeribacter aerolatus. Its description in RNAcentral is "tRNA-Asp". It matches the Rfam family "tRNA". From Rfam's summary of the family: Transfer RNA (tRNA) molecules are approximately 80 nucleotides in length. Their secondary structure includes four short double-helical elements and three loops (D, anti-codon, and T loops). Lineage: Bacteria; Pseudomonadati; Bacteroidota; Cytophagia; Cytophagales; Hymenobacteraceae. The record is from RNAcentral. RNAcentral also lists the same sequence under 3 other names.
GGUCCGGUAGUUCAGUUGGUUAGAAUGCCGCCCUGUCACGGCGGAGGUCGCGGGUUCGAGUCCCGUCCGGACCGC